RNAcentral lists this ribosomal RNA (428 nucleotides) under uncultured prokaryote. RNAcentral's name for it is "bacterial SSU rRNA". It matches the Rfam family "Bacterial small subunit ribosomal RNA", at positions 355 to 774 of the family's 1533-position model. The record is from RNAcentral.
UGGGGAAUAUUGGGCAAUGGGCGAAAGCCUGACCCAGCGACGCCGCGUGGGCGAUGAAGGCCUUCGGGUUGUAAAGCCCUGUCAUGCGGAAAGAACGACCCUGCGACUCAUAAUCGCAGGGAGUGACGGUACCGCAGGAGGAAGCACCGGCUAACUCCGUGCCAGCAGCCGCGGUAAUACGGAGGGUGCAAGCGUUGUUCGGAAUUAUUGGGCGUAAAGGGCGCGUAGGCGGCAGUGUAAGUCAGAUGUGAAAUACUCCGGCUCAACCAGAGAACAGCAUCUGAAACUGCACAGCUAGAGUACAGAAGAGGGAAACGGAAUUCCCGGUGUAGAGGUGAAAUUCGUAUAUAUCGGGAGGAACACCAGUGGCGAAGGCGGUUUCCUGGUCUGAUACUGACGCUGAGGCGCGAAAGCGUGGGGAGCAAACA